Molecule: long non-coding RNA, 3845 nt
Organism: Naja naja (Indian cobra)
Lineage: Eukaryota; Metazoa; Chordata; Lepidosauria; Squamata; Elapidae
Source: Ensembl
UGCAUAUCUAAAUUAAUAUUUGCACAAUAGAUGUGUUUCAAUCUCGUUUUGUUUUUGUUUUCCUGGUAGCUCUGGCUGAUGAUUUGGGUCAUUUCUUCUUCAAUGGAAAUUCUGCUAUUGACAAUCCACAGAAUUUUAGAGUGGCUGGCACCAUCUUCAAAUACCGCCGUCCUUCCAAUCUACAUUCUGAUGGUCUAGAAUACAUUAUUGCACAAGGGCCCACUAAUCAGUCUCUCAACGUCAUGUACUACAAUUUCAAUGGAAAAAUGCCACAUGUAACAUAUGACUACACUGUGCCUAGAGCAUUGUCACCAGCUGUUCAGACAGUUCCGCCAUCCAUCAAGAUGCCUCUCUAUCUUCACUUACCAGAACCUAGCCAAAAUUACCAAGAUGCAGUUUCAUCCAUUUCCCAAGAUUUCAAUGCUUCUUGGGUUUCUGUCACAGAGAUGACAGAUGAGACAGAAGAAGAACCUGGGGGCAUGUCCUUCAAUAGCCAGAACUUCUUCCCAAGUAACUCCACUCACCAAGGCAAAGAGUGGGGCUGGAAACAUGGGGCACAGGAGGAAAAUCUCAGCUUUCAAUUCCAACAACUUUAUCAUACACGUGAAACAAGUAAAGAUCUGACAGCUGACAAAGAAGCAGAUCUGGCCCUCAGACUCAAUAAUAUUAUGAUCAGCACAGCCACGCCACAUGGUGCAGCAAGAUUUGAACUCCAUGAAGCCAAUAAGAUUGGUGCCUCCAGACAGCAUCUCUUCAGAUCAUUGUGUCUCCAGGAUCCACAAAAUGCCGCUUUUUGUAGGGCAUUGCAUUACAUGACAGCCAAGGUUGGGAGAAAGAAUUCAACAGUUGGGUUGUGGGGUCACACAACUAUCAAAUGGCCAGAAGGACUGCCCAAACAAUCUGCAAAAAAGAACUUUCCAGACAGAGUGAAUGUCGACCCUUUUGUAAUGAAUGAAGCAACAAAUGAUACUCUCAUGGCAAUUUCUUCCAACCCUAGCUCCAGCUCCAGGCUUCCAAUCAGCUUUGGGAAUGAGCAGCUGUCAGAGCCUCUUCAAGGUCCAGGUGCUGAAAGCAAUGACUUUGAAUUGAGUCCCCUUGGCCAUGAGGACAUCAGCUUGGCUGACAUGUAUCGCUGGAAGGUAUCAGCCUAUGCUCCUUGCAGCUCCACAUGCACAUCAGGUGAAAUAACAUGUAAUUUUGGAUACUAAUAUGGCAAGUUUUUAGUCUUGCAAAGGAUUCUUUGUGGUCAGUUUCUGCAUAUAGAAGGGCCCACAUGAGAACUUCUUCAGAAAUGAACAGCAGUGUAUAGUGUAUUAAAUACUGUUUGCUGUAUAUUUGUGUUUGUUCUGCAUCUGAAGGUAUUCUUCUUUUAAUAUUGCAAAAAACACCUUCCCUUGAUGUUACUUUAUCAUUAUAUCAGGGGAAACUUGUGAGUAGAUGUAGACUCCGUGCAUAUGCAUCAUAGAAUUGUGUUAUUUGUUUGCUUGUUUGUAACUUGCCUUUAUUAUUUUUACGAAUAACUCAAGAAAGUGAACAUAUCCAAUGCACCUUCCUCCUUCUAUUUUCCCCUGUGAGGUAAGUUGUGCUGAGAGAGUGACUGGCCCAAGGUCACCCAGCUGGCUUUCCUGCCUAAGGUGGGACUAGAAGUCUUGUUCUCCUGCUUUCUAGCCUGGUGCCUUAACCGCUUUUGUGUUUCUGUUUAGCUUUUCAAUGUAGUCUCCAACAACUCAGGAGCUGUAAUGCAGAUGGGUUUAAUUAGGACUAACAUUGUUCUUGUUAAUUUUAAUGUCUUUUUUUCCUGCAUGAAUUUUUAUUAAGUCUGCACGAAGUCAUUUGUUUCCCCAAGGCACUUCUGACUGUGAAUAUGAUGUGAUUUUCUCUUGUGCGCACACAUUCCCUCUUGCUCUCUCUUGCUGCUCUCUUUUACUCUCUCUAUCUCUAGAUUUUAUUAAAAAAAAUUUCAAACAGUAAAGGACAAAACUAAAACAAAAAGUAGCAGAAAAUAUAUAAAAAUAGAGAUAAGAAAAAGAAAGUACAGAAAGCAAAGGGGGAAAAAAGCCAGGAAAAAAGACUAAGAGGACUGAAGUCAGAAAAAUAAGUGAUCUCUGACCUUCUUUACAACAGAAAUUAACAAUUGUAUUACCCAACCUCCCUCCUUAAUAUUAUAAAAAUCCCUUCAUCUUUGGUGUAGUCCUUUUUUAUGUAUCAUUUUCUCUCUUUUCAGCAAAAAGUCCAUAAAAGUUUUCCCAUCUUUUAAGAAUGUAUUUAUUGUUUUAUGACAAAAGGUCAGGCUUCACCAUUUCUGACAACUUCAACUCCUUCACAAUCCACUUGUUCCUUGUGGGGAUUUCAGUAUUCCUCCAUUAUUGUGUAUACUGUAUAAUAGCCUUGUGCUGUUACCAUGUAUGAAGUCAAUCUUGUGUGAUUUUUUAUCUCAGUGGGCUAUCCAAAUGUCCCACUAAGAAAGUCCCAUGACAUGAUUAUUAUCUUCAUUAAGCAUCAAGGCCGUAUGAUCUGCCUUAAUGAAGCAUGUUGUGCUGUCCUGAAGCUUCUCAUAGUAUCUUUGUGAAAGCUGGAAGAGACUUCUCUGCAACUGUCUACCUGCACAGGAGUCCUUUCUAGCUUUAGUUAGGUAAGGUAAUGAGGCUCCUUUUCACAGCACAGUUUGCCAUCUUUAAGUACCAAAGGUGAGCACUGCACCUUCCACCAUCAAAGCAGAAUUAAGCAGCACAUCAUCACCUGGCACCCCUGACCAAGGACUUGGUAAGUGACACCUGAGAAGGAUAGCAGCACUUUCUCUUGCAAUGCUUGCCAAAACUUGGCUAAUUAUAUCAGAGAUGCUUUCAGGGGCUGCAAAGCUGUAAAGAGUACUCAUAGAGUUGGAUGGCUAAUAAAUUCAAAUAAAUAAAUAAAUAAAAUAAUAGAAACAAAGUGGUCAGCUUGUUUUGCAAAGAAGCCUUGAAGGGAUGAAUAGCUUGAAGUUUUGAAGAACUGUACAGUUCUAAUUCUCAGCAGCGCAGUGGUUAGAGUGCAGUAUUGCAGCCCACUUCUGCUAACUACCGACUGCCUGCAAUUUGGCAGUUCAAAUCCCACCAGGCUCAAGGUUGACUCAGCCUUCCAUCCUUCUGAGGUGAGUAAAAUGAGGACCCAGAUUGUGGGGGGCAAUAUGCUGACUCUGUAAACCGCUUAGAGAGGGCUGUAAAGCAUUGUAAAGCGGUAUAUAAGUCUAAUUGCUAUUGCUAUUUUCCCAACCUUAACGACUACUAUAGCUUUUGAGCAUUGUGUAUCCAUGACUGAACAACUUUAUUUAUUAUAUAUUUCUGGGUUUGCUUUAGAAAGUUGGGAACAUAAUAUGUACAGUAUAUUCCUGUCAGCCAUCAAUGUAGACCAGACUGGGAAACAAAAGUCACCAACUUAAUACUCCUUUAAUUAUAAGGUUAUAGUGACAGAAUCUCACAAAUCUGAAAAUGCUUCUGCUCCCCCCACUUUUUUUGUUAAUCUUUGUGAGAACUAGGGAGGGUCUUUUCUAAUAUGCUUUCUCAGAUUACAGUUCUGGCCCAGCUCUGGUUUCUUUUCAUCUCACCAUUGUCUUAAUAAAGGCUCUUCCUGCUGUUCCUCAAAAGUUAUUCUUUCUGUCCAUUUCAUCUCUUUAUGGAAAAAGGAUGUGCUUUUUCACAGAGCACAUCCUCCCUUCUCCCUUCUGAGGAAAUCCCAACUUUCUCUCUUCCUGAUAUCUAAGAUAUGGGGAUAAACAGUCGCUUGCUGCUACUUUGGACCAUAGUUGUUAGUGAAGCACUUAAUCCUGUAAGGUAACUAAUGAUGAUUCAGCUUUGCUGUGCAUGCAG